UUUCAUACUGUUACUGCAUUGCAGGUAUUAAGGUUGAUUUUUUGCAGUGAUUGCAGGCCCAUGUGGAAUAUUCUGGCCGCAACUGACUUGAAUGUAUGUUUGAUGGUGUAUGGCCUCAUUGCAUUGAUAAUGGUCACAUAAAUUCCUUCAUUAUUGUAGUGCAAAUGAAUGUAGUCGGUGCAAUAAUUUAAGAUUAGGUGAUGCACUAUUCUUGACUUUGGUGUGUGUUCAUGUUGCAGGAUCUUUCGCCCUAACAUGUUAC
RNAcentral lists this long non-coding RNA (262 nucleotides) under Lathyrus oleraceus (garden pea). RNAcentral describes it as "Pisum sativum (pea) long non-coding RNA (PSAT_LNC042017)". Lineage: Eukaryota; Viridiplantae; Streptophyta; Magnoliopsida; Fabales; Fabaceae. The record is from RNAcentral.